Molecule: long non-coding RNA, 823 nt
Organism: Columba livia (rock pigeon)
Lineage: Eukaryota; Metazoa; Chordata; Aves; Columbiformes; Columbidae
Exons: 2
Source: RefSeq, a predicted model, not a curated record
UAUGCUGGCCGCGGGGCCCGAGGGGCGGCCGGCCCGUGUCCCCGGCGCGGAGCUGGGCGAGCGGGCGGGUGGGCUCCCCUCGGCCGGCCGCGCUCGCCGCCGCCUUCCCCUGCACGCACGCACUUCGCGGAACAAGCAGGAGCUGGAGUCACCCGCGCCUGUCUGCUGGGAAGGUUUCUUCUAGAAAAAUCCUGAGUGUUUUCAACUUGUUAUCCCACCGAUCGCUCGGUGCCAAGUCGCAAAUGAAAUUGCUCAAGAUAAACACUCGGUGAGUUUCUUCUCCCACUUAGACGGGGCUCGUUGGUGUCACAGUCUGCGCUGCUCUGCAGGAACAAGGAGCUUCCAAUGCUUUAUGUGCCCGACCAGCGCGUGGGGAACUCGCUCUGAGCAUCCUCAUCCCUGCACGCGAUGGGCCUGUGCCACCAUGAGAGCCCACGCGCCUGUACAUCCAGACAUCAAAGAGAAGGUGUCUGUAACGGAAGGAAUUGGGACUUUAUUUGCGGGUGCACCCCGAGCUGGUCACCCCCCGGGCAGCAGGAAGGGACCAGGCAGAGGAUGCAGGGCGCUGUGUGAAGACACUGCUUUCCCACUCGUGAUCUUCACCUCAAAAACAUCUUCCUCUUUUCUUUUUUCCCCAAACCCAAACAACUCAGGACUGGGUUUGUCAUUUGAUCAAGUGAAUUCAGUACACAACUCUGAAGAUUUUUCCUAACACUGCAUCACAUUUGAAUGGAUGUUUAGUGGCAAUUUUCUGGUUUCUUAACAUUUGACAGAAACUAUUGAGUUUAUUAAUGUCACAAUAAAGGUUUAUGGUUCUAUCCUA